This is a long non-coding RNA of Vigna radiata var. radiata (mung bean), 962 nucleotides long. RefSeq lists it as uncharacterized. Lineage: Eukaryota; Viridiplantae; Streptophyta; Magnoliopsida; Fabales; Fabaceae. The transcript has 3 exons. The record is from RefSeq and is a predicted model, not a curated record.
UAAAAAUAAUUUUGUGUUCGCGGUUCUUCCGGAGAAAUAUUUUGCAUUUUCAUUUCUGGUUCGCUUCUCCUACGAGUGUCUGGUUCGCUUCUCCUACGAGUGUCUACGAGUGUGCGUUUUCGUUUCUGUUUCACUUCAUCUACGAGCGUGCAUUUUCGAUUCUGCGAUCAGUCACUGCAAUCCUAAAUCUCGCGUCUCUGCUCCGUUUCAAUUGCCGUGCGUGUGGCAUUUUCAUUAGUGUGUUGCGUCAAGCUGUAGGCUCCUUCGUUUCGUUCGUUUUAGGGCUUCCGUUUUAGGUAUCUUGUUGCCUCUUCCACCUUCUGAUUCGUUUCUUUUUUGCCCUAUUUUCAUGAAAAUGCAUUUUUCAGCAGGUGUUGAUGGCGUCACUGAAGCACUGUUUUAGAGCUGUGUUGGUCUACUAGGNGUAGGAUAUUUGUUCGUGCAGUGGGUUUAGGAANGACACUACUCUGGAAAAACCCUGAACAGAAGAGAACAAUGAGAUAUUGUCCAUACUUGUCAAUAUGGAUUCAAUUUUGAGGAGGCUUGCACAACUAUAGACAAAUGUGGUGUGUUUAGUGUGUAAUUGUUACUCUUAUAUAUGUUAUCAACACAUUUUAAGUUUCUUUUUGUUUUAUUUUCGUCUCUCCAGUAUCAGCCGUAUUAAAUGGUCUAAGAUGGUCAAUUAAAUAAUGAAAAAGGAGAUUUGUCUGGUGAUGGUUCUUAAAUAUUUAUUUUUGAGCAACAUUUGUCAGGUCCUAAAGCGGUGAUCUGGUAGAUUUCAUCANUGCUUUUCAAUUAGAAGAUGAAAUUGACUUGCUUCAAGAUCUGCCUAAAGAUAAACAUGUUGCACCUGUUGAUACAUAGAGUAUUUUUCUAGUUGAAGACGUCAACAAUAUCUUGACAAUUAAAUCAUUAAAGUUAGGAAAGACUGGUGUUUAUAUGUAAUUAGUAUAUGUUCAUAG